GUCCAGACUCCUACGGGAGGCAGCAGUGGGGAAUAUUGCACAAUGGGGGAAACCCUGAUGCAGCGACGCCGCGUGAGCGAUGAAGUAUUUCGGUAUGUAAAGCUCUAUCAGCAGGGAAGAAAAUGACGGUACCUGACUAAGAAGCCCCGGCUAACUACGUGCCAGCAGCCGCGGUAAUACGUAGGGGGCAAGCGUUAUCCGGAUUUACUGGGUGUAAAGGGAGCGUAGACGGCAGUGCAAGUCCGGAGUGAAGGCCCGGGGCUCAACCCUGGGACUGCUCUGGAAACUGUAAAGCUGGAGUGCGGGAGGGGCAGGCGGAAUUCCUGGUGUAGCGGUGAAAUGCGUAGAUAUCAGGAGGAACACCGGCGGCGAAGGCGGCCUGCUGGACCGUAACUGACGUUGAGGCUCGAAAGCGUGGGGAGCAAACAGGAUUAGAUACCCCGGUA
RNAcentral lists this ribosomal RNA (446 nucleotides) under uncultured bacterium. Its description in RNAcentral is "bacterial SSU rRNA". It matches the Rfam family "Bacterial small subunit ribosomal RNA", at positions 329 to 792 of the family's 1533-position model. The record is from RNAcentral.